RNAcentral lists this unclassified non-coding RNA (332 nucleotides) under soil metagenome. Its description in RNAcentral is "partial contains 5.8S ribosomal RNA, internal transcribed spacer 2, and large subunit ribosomal RNA". The stretch from base 1 to 120 matches the Rfam family "5.8S ribosomal RNA", at positions 35 to 154 of the family's 154-position model. The record is from RNAcentral.
GAUGAAGAACGCAGCAAAAUGCGAUAAGUAAUGUGAAUUGCAGAAUUCAGUGAAUCAUCGAAUCUUUGAACGCACAUAGCGCCCGCCAGUAUUCUGGCGGGCAUGCCUGUUCGAGCGUCAUUUCAACCCUCAAGCACAGCUUGGUGUUGGGACUCGCGUUAAUUCGCGUUCCUCAAAUUGAUUGGCGGUCACGUCGAGCUUCCAUAGCGUAGUAGUAAAACCCUCGUUACUGGUAAUCGUCGCGGCCACGCCGUUAAACCCCAACUUCUGAAUGUUGACCUCGGAUCAGGUAGGAAUACCCGCUGAACUUAAGCAUAUCAAUAAGCGGAGGA